Molecule: non-coding RNA, 776 nt
Organism: Misgurnus anguillicaudatus (oriental weatherfish)
Lineage: Eukaryota; Metazoa; Chordata; Actinopteri; Cypriniformes; Cobitidae
Source: RefSeq, a predicted model, not a curated record
GUAUAAAAUCUUGCCAUGGACUUGCCAGGUGACUGCAUCCUUUGCAGUAUAUUCUUUUAACUGUCUUUGACAUUCUCAGUAUUUGCACAUAUAAAAUAGUAAUCUAUAGCAGCUUUUUACAACAUACAAUAAUCUCGUUUGGUAAUUGCUUACCAUAACGUUUUUAAGUGUUAGAUCAAGAUUGUUUUUUUCAUUUGCCUUUCAGAUUUCACCUCAUCCUCCACUGACCCCGUCCUACAGUGGGGCAACGUGUAGCCAUUGGCAUCUUCAGUUCAAGUAGAGGACAUCUUUAUCUCCAUCUAUUGUCUUUUACUGUCCUGUCCUGUCCUAUCUAUUCAUUUUAGCUCAAAAUGUAAUCUCGCUCUACCUCUCACCUAUUUUAUUCUUUCUCUUCCUAAACCAAAAAGAAACUGGCUGCUAUCCUCAAACGGUGCUGCACUGCUUGCUGCACUGGUUACUGCUUUGAUAUCGCAUCUUAAAAAAUAAAGAGCCAGAACCACCAAACAUACUUAAAACCCCAAAAGCUAUUUGAAAAACUCGAAAAAAGCUUGAUUCUGAAAAGUGUGACUGUAAAAAGCUUGACUGUAAAAAGCUUAAACAUCAGACCCAGGUAAGAAAAGUUUCAGAUUCCACAGAUUUCAGAUUCAGAUAGACUGAAAGGAAAAUUUCUGGAUUUCGCCAGGUUGGAAUAUCAACUGUUUUAAAUCAUCUUCUUGAUUAACGUAACAUUAAUUAAUUUAACAUUGUUUUCCAUAUAUCUGAUUUUAUACGCAUCA